AUCUUCAUCUUCAUCUUCUUCCUCAUUUGGAGCUCUUUGAGAGGUAAGCUCCCAAGCCCUCUCAUGGUAGAUUUUUGUAGAAUGGGUUUUGAACCCUAGAUCUUUGGCUUUGAUCUACCUACAAGCUUUAGAAUUUUGUAAAGGCCAAGAACACAUGAAAUCCAUGGUGUUCUUCAAGAUGCUCUAAUGGUGGAUUUCUAGGGUUUGUUCUAGACACCCUAAGAACGGUUCAAAUGGUCCUAAAUGAGCUCUAAGAACUUGGACAAGCUCUCUUUUGCUUGUUUUAUAGAUCAAAUCUGGAGUAUUGAGCAUAUGCCAUGUUAGGGCAUCCCAAAGAGGGGUUUUGCUCAUAUAGGGUUUUGAUCUAUUUUGACCAUGUGGAAACCUAAUUGAUAGGUAACGAAACACGUUGGUGAAGUCGGUUCGGCAAUCCGACGAGCCGUUUUAAAGAUAUCGAAGAAACGGACGCUUGGAGCUUCGUUACCGCCUGGAGGGCCGAGGCGGCGUCCAUAAAUCGUGAAAUCGGGUCCCGAGCACCGUAACGGCAAGGCAAAGAUCGUUAGCACGUGAAACGGCGAAGCGGCGCGCUCUUGAAAAGCAAUUGUGAGAUCGGGCCCAAACGGGUGCCGAGUGCCGCGGGAGGCCGAUUGCCGCGGGAGGCCGAUUGCAAGUGUCGACAAGCAAUCGGAAUGCGAAUCGAGGUGGGUUGUGCUUACCGAAGCGACUAGGUCGCCCUUUAUGUCUUAGCAAUGUAUCUCAUGUUGAUGCAUGUGCAUGUAGACAAGACUAAAUGAUGCAAUAAUAAAUAUGCAUAAGUAAAGGCUAAGUAAAGUAAAGAAUGCAUGAUAAAUGAUAAUGCAUAGAGUAAAUGCAAGUAAAGUAAAGAAUGCAUGAUAAUGAC
This 901-nucleotide long non-coding RNA is filed under the name Ananas comosus (pineapple). RNAcentral's name for it is "long non-coding RNA (ACOM_LNC013981)". Lineage: Eukaryota; Viridiplantae; Streptophyta; Magnoliopsida; Poales; Bromeliaceae. The record is from RNAcentral.